This is a long non-coding RNA of Toxorhynchites rutilus septentrionalis, 681 nucleotides long. RefSeq lists it as uncharacterized. Lineage: Eukaryota; Metazoa; Arthropoda; Insecta; Diptera; Culicidae. The record is from RefSeq and is a predicted model, not a curated record. The transcript is spliced from 3 exons.
GUCGCAUUUACAAUGCGAUUCAUGAAUUUGUUGUCAUUCAUUAAGGUAGCUGAUCAAUUACCAUCCUCUACGAAACGGUAAUUUGAUUGAUACAUAUGGAAGAGAAAAGUAUCGGCACCAUUAACAUCAUUCACAACUUGAGCAGCCUGGCUUGCAUUUUCGCCUUUAUAAAAGAAAAAGUCUCACUCCGAAGUAAUUCUAUGUCGGAUCACUCAUUGUAUCGUCAUCGCUCAUUGUGCUUGAGGGUAACUGAGCAGAAUGGACACCGCCAGAAAAUGAACUGUAACUAACAAAAUCACUGUACCUGCUGCGAUUAAUCAGGUGGUCUAUUCAGUUGCGGUGGGAACGCAUGAUCAGUAAUGGCUCUCUCGUAGUCGACCGCCUUGGUGAACGAGCUGUCGACACCGAUCGCUUGUUUCCGCUGGCUCGAAAUCAUCACGAUUACCACCAACAACAACAGCACCAUCAGGAGGCUUGACUGCACCGCACGCAAGACGGUCACGGAACUCAUUCCAACAAACAAACACAAACGUAAAUACAUGUUUAAAUACGUAAAUGCAUGCUCAAAGAUGUAUAAUAGCACAAUCAAAUGCGUUCCCACGGUAGUGAGCGCCACCCGAUAAGUUAGCCUUGUGCUAGUCAUUGAUGAUGAACACCUGAGUGAACGUGUUAAAUAAAUAC